Molecule: ribosomal RNA, 396 nt
Filed under: uncultured bacterium
Lineage: Bacteria
Description: partial 16S ribosomal RNA
Rfam family: Bacterial small subunit ribosomal RNA
Source: RNAcentral
AUACGUAGGGGGCGAGCGUUGUCCGGAAUGAUUGGGCGUAAAGGGCGCGUAGGCGGCCCGGUAAGUCUGGAGUGAAAGUCCUGUUUUUAAGAUGGGAAUUGCUUUGGAUACUGUCGGGCUUGAGUGCAGGAGAGGUAAGUGGAAUUCCCAGUGUAGCGGUGAAAUGCGUAGAGAUUGGGAGGAACACCAGUGGCGAAGGCGACUUACUGGACUGUAACUGACGCUGAGGCGCGAAAGUGUGGGGAGCAAACAGGAUUAGAUACCCUGGUAGUCCACACUGUAAACGAUGAAUGCUAGGUGUAAGAGGUAUCGACCCCUUUUGUGCCGGAGUCAACACAAUAAGCAUUCCGCCUGGGGAGUACGGCCGCAAGGUUGGAACUCAAAUGAAUUGGCGGG